Suricata suricatta (meerkat) is the source of this 76-nucleotide small nucleolar RNA. The record is from Ensembl. Lineage: Eukaryota; Metazoa; Chordata; Mammalia; Carnivora; Herpestidae.
GUCCACUGACGAACCUCUUGUCGGGCUGUCUGUGUGGGCCACUGAGCCACAGUGAUGGAGCUGAAGGCGUGAGGAG